This 74-nucleotide transfer RNA is filed under the name Nitrincola phage 1M3-16. It matches the Rfam family "tRNA". From Rfam's summary of the family: Transfer RNA (tRNA) molecules are approximately 80 nucleotides in length. Their secondary structure includes four short double-helical elements and three loops (D, anti-codon, and T loops). The record is from Rfam by way of RNAcentral. Lineage: Duplodnaviria; Heunggongvirae; Uroviricota; Caudoviricetes.
GGGCGUAUAGCACAACCGGUUAGUGCAUCGGACUCAUAAUCCGGAGGUUACAGGUUCAAGUCCUGUUGCGCCCA